AAACUUUCAACAACGGAUCUCUUGGUUCCAGCAUCGAUGAAGAACGCAGCGAAAUGCGAUAAGUAAUGUGAAUUGCAGAAUUCAGUGAAUCAUCGAAUCUUUGAACGCACAUUGCGCCCCUUGGUAUUCCGGGGGGCAUGCCUGUUCGAGCGUCAU
This 156-nucleotide ribosomal RNA is filed under the name Neuropogon antarcticus. RNAcentral's name for it is "5.8S ribosomal RNA". It matches the Rfam family "5.8S ribosomal RNA". Rfam says of the family: 5.8S ribosomal RNA (5.8S rRNA) is a component of the large subunit of the eukaryotic ribosome. It is transcribed by RNA polymerase I as part of the 45S precursor that also contains 18S and 28S rRNA. The record is from RNAcentral. RNAcentral also lists the same sequence under 1 other name. Lineage: Eukaryota; Fungi; Ascomycota; Lecanoromycetes; Lecanorales; Parmeliaceae.